UACCUACAUCAUAAAAGGAGCGUUGGACUACAAACAUGGCUACUUGGGGACUUCCUGUCUCCCAGGUGCCAGACUGAUUACAAACAUUACAAAUGAGAGGAGAGUCUUUCAGAAAUCAGCUCUGAGAGGCCUGACCUUAGUGAGCCUCACAUUUAAUGCUGACAGACGUAGAACUCGCGCUAUUAAGGAUUACCGAGACAUUGGAGAAGAGUACCAACCAUGUUGGUGGAAAUCUAUCAACUAUUGGGUGAGACCUUCACAUGCUUCGUCACCGGACAGAUCAGACUCUCGACAAUCCCGACGCACAAGGGAGAAACCUUGACGAAACACACGAGAAGGAAAACAGCAGUCGGACUAAAACCUUCAAAGCAUUCGCUGUUAGCCAGAUAUUUUUGUGAUUCAGACUUUGGUGGAGACGAGCAGCAUAUGGAAAAAAAGAAAAGGGUAUUCUGUAUUUUUGGCAGCGUGUGUUGUUUGUGUUUUUAUAGAUCUUGAGGCUCCUGGAGCUCACACAAAAUGAAUUGUGAGUCGGCUGCAGCUGCCAGACGACAAGCAGAAAUACUACCACCUCUGAUGAGCUGAAAAGGAGAAACAAAUUUUUAAAAGGAGAAAGGAAAUAAGAGGAUUAUGGCUGAUAAUGUGUGUGCAACCUCCCACCAGGAGAGGAGUGUACUGUUGCAGAAUACCUGUGGUUCAUGUAAGGGCUAGUUACAAUAGAGUUAUACAUUCAGCAGACAAAAGAGGACGGCUUUGAUUUUUCGUCGGAGGCUGUGCUACAGGGAUGUGAGCUUAAAUCAAAUAGAAUCUGAUGCGCUUUCAUGUUUUUCAGGAGAAAAUAAAUGCUCUCAUUGAGGGAA
This is a long non-coding RNA of Oryzias melastigma (Indian medaka), 857 nucleotides long. RefSeq lists it as uncharacterized. The transcript is spliced from 2 exons. The record is from RefSeq and is a predicted model, not a curated record. Lineage: Eukaryota; Metazoa; Chordata; Actinopteri; Beloniformes; Adrianichthyidae.